CCUCUCUCCCAACCCGCCCGCGGCGCUGUCUGUUCCUCCUAGCCCUUCUCGGCUCUCUUCCGUCGUCUUUCUUCCAAAAUUCCGACAGCCACGAUCUUCUCGUCUUCCAUUCGUACGACAUCUUCCUAUGUAAGUAUUUCUCCCUCUUCAACCUUUCUCUCUCUUCACUCUUUCUACGCUCAUAUUUCCCAUUUCUGACCACGAAUGAUUGACACAGCUUCUUGCGUUGGAUUCCUUUCCUCCUCUU
RNAcentral lists this long non-coding RNA (247 nucleotides) under Malus domestica (apple). RNAcentral's name for it is "long non-coding RNA (MDOM_LNC018205)". Lineage: Eukaryota; Viridiplantae; Streptophyta; Magnoliopsida; Rosales; Rosaceae. The record is from RNAcentral.